UGUGGUUAGCGGUGAAAUGCCAAUCGAACUCGGAGAUAGCUGGUUCUCCUCGAAACAGUUUUAGGACUGGCGUCAUGUGGUAGCAGUCGGGGGUAGAGCUCUGUAAAGGACUGGGGGGAGCAAUCCUACCCACCCUUAACAAACUACGAAUACCGGCUGUGGAAUCAUGGCAGUUAGAACGGCGGAGCUAAGUUCGUCGCUCAAAAGGGAAACAGCCCAGACCAUCGUCUAAGGUCCCUAAAUUUACGUUAAGUGGGAAACAAGGUGAGAUUUCUUAAACAGCUAGGAUGUUGGCUUAGAAGCAGCCAUUCAUUUAAAGAGUGCGUAACAGCUCACUAGUCAAGAGAUUUUGCGUGGAAAAUGUAACGGGGCUAAAGUGUUAAACCGAAGACAUGGACUUCUGCCUAUGCAGGAGUGGUAGAGGAGCGUUGAUAUCGCAGUGAAGUCAGAUUGGAAAGUCUGGUGGAGCGUUAUCAAGUGAGAAUGCUGGAAUCAGUAACCUUAAGACAGGUGAGAAUCCUGUCGGUCGUAAGAGCAAGGUUUCCAGGGCUACAGUAAUUGUCCCUGGGUUAGUCGGUCCUAAGCCGAGGCGUAUCAGCGUAGGCGAUGGACAACAGGUUAAUAUUCCUGUACAGGUAGUAGUUGUGAACAGUUCACGGUGAAUGACCGGAGCGGAUUAAUGGUUUAUCCGUCCAAGUCUUUAGGGAACUAAAGAUGAGUGAAAGGUAAUCUUCGGAUUAUUGAUUCUGGGUGAAGCACUGGCUAGAAAAGCUGGUUCACUUAUGCUGCUGCCUACCGUACCGCAAACCAACACCGGUGCUCGGGUCGAGUAGACCAAGACCUACGUGAGAACCUUCGCUAAGGAACUCGGCAAAACAGCGUCCGUAACUUCGGAAUAAGGACUGCCCUCUCAUUAAGAUGAGGAUUUGCUAGAAACUCAGCAGAAGAUUCAGAUUACCUUUUAACUGAAUUUUUCGUUGAGACAGAACACAAAACAGGAUUUGUUUAACAAAUUCGUGUCUUUUCUAGUAGUCUAAUCGUCAUUUUGAUGAGAGGGCCGCAGCUAAAGAGCCCACGGAACUGUUUACCAAAAACAUAGGUCUCUGCUAACGCGAAAGCGGAUGUAUAGGGGCUGACUCCUGCCCGGUGCCGGAAGGUUAAGGGGAGAGCUUUACGGUUCGAACUGAAGCCCCGAUGAACGGCGGCGAUAACUAUGAUCGUCCUAAGGUAGCGAAAUUCCUUGUCUGGUAAGUUCAGACCCGCACGAAUGGAGUAAUCAUGUGGGCACUGUCUCGGCGAAGGCCUCGGUGAACGUGCAUUGGCGGUAAAGAUGCCGUCUGAUCAUGCCAGGACGAGAAGACCCCAUGGAGCUUUACUACAACUUUGCAUUGAUUAUUGGGACAUUUUGUGUAGAAUAGGUGGAAGACUUUGAAGCAGAUACGCUAGUAUUUGUGGAGUCGAAAUAUGAAAUACCACCCUGAAUGUUUUAGUAAUCUCACUUUUGACCUGAUCGGCCAAAAGGACCGUGCAU
Molecule: ribosomal RNA, 1531 nt
Filed under: human oral metagenome
Description: bacterial LSU rRNA
Rfam family: Bacterial large subunit ribosomal RNA
Source: RNAcentral